UGUGUCGUCUUACGUGGCAUUAUUGGAUUGCAUUCAGAUAUUUCUAAUACUGUCAGGUAAAGACGUCAGU
Molecule: microRNA precursor, 70 nt
Filed under: Helobdella robusta
Lineage: Eukaryota; Metazoa; Annelida; Clitellata; Rhynchobdellida; Glossiphoniidae
Description: mir-8/mir-141/mir-200 microRNA precursor family
Rfam family: mir-8/mir-141/mir-200 microRNA precursor family
About the family: The bounds of the precursors are predicted based on conservation and base pairing and are not generally known.
Source: Rfam by way of RNAcentral